This 315-nucleotide ribosomal RNA is filed under the name Triticum aestivum (bread wheat). Its description in RNAcentral is "partial small subunit ribosomal RNA". The record is from RNAcentral. Lineage: Eukaryota; Viridiplantae; Streptophyta; Magnoliopsida; Poales; Poaceae.
AUGUGCUACUUGCAGGAGAAAAGAUGGAAGGAACAAGAGGUGGAAGUGAGCUCCCAGCAUAUGAACAAUCGAGGCUUGCAAGUAUUGCAAAAAACAAAAGCUGAAGAACUUGGCUAUGACAUGCAGAGAGAUGAAAUAUUUGUCAGAGCACAUACACGUAAAAUUGGAGUUCCUACCGCACAAGCGGAGACAUUAAUUAAACAACCUGAAGAAACAGCUGAACCACCAACAACACUUGCAAUGGAAAUUCAAUUUCAUCGACAAGAUGAACAAGUUUCUACUCUACUAGGGCACACAGAAAAAAUGCAACGAUAA